This 498-nucleotide ribosomal RNA is filed under the name uncultured bacterium. RNAcentral's name for it is "partial 16S ribosomal RNA". It matches the Rfam family "Bacterial small subunit ribosomal RNA", at positions 30 to 523 of the family's 1533-position model. The record is from RNAcentral.
AUUGAACGCUGGCGGCAUGCCUUACACAUGCAAGUCGAACGGUAACAGGUCUUCGGAUGCUGACGAGUGGCGAACGGGUGAGUAAUACAUCGGAACGUGCCUAGUCGUGGGGGAUAACUACUCGAAAGAGUGGCUAAUACCGCAUGAGAUCUACGGAUGAAAGCAGGGGAUCGCAGGACAUUGCGCUUCUAGAGGGGCCGAUGGCAGAUUAGGUGGUUUGUGGGAUAAAAGCUUACCAAGUCGACGAUCUGUAGCUGGUCUGAGAGGACGAUCGGCCACACUGGGACUGAGACACGGCCCAGACUCCUACGGGAGGCAGCAGUGGGGAAUUUUGGACAAUGGGCGUAAGCCUGAUCCAGCAAUGCCGCGUGCAGGAUGAAGGCCUUCGGGUUGUAAACUGCUUUUGUACGGAACGAAAAGCCCCGGGUUAAUACCCUGGGGUCAUGACGGUACCGUAAGAAUAAGCACCGGCUAACUACGUGCCAGCCGCCGCUGUAA